GCAUAACGCGAAGAACCUUACCAAGGCUUGACAUCCCCUUGACCGGCACAGAGAUGUGCCCUCUCCUUCGGGAGCAAGGGUGACAGGUGGUGCAUGGUUGUCGUCAGCUCGUGUCGUGAGAUGUUGGGUUAAGUCCCGCAACGAGCGCAACCCUUAUCCUUAGUUGCCAGCAGGUGAAGCUGGGCACUCUAAGGAGACUGCCGAUGAUAAAUCGGAGGAAGGUGGGGAUGACGUCAAAUCAUCAUGCCCCUUAUGUCUUGGGCUACACACGUGCUACAAUGGUCGGUACAAAGGGGAGCGAAGGAGUGAUCUGGAGCAAAUCCCAAUAAACCGAUCUCAGUUCGGAUUGUAGGCUGCAACUCGCCUACAUGAAGUCGGAGUUGCUAGUAAUCGCGAAUCAGAACGUCGCGGUGAAUGCGUUCCCGGGUCUUGUACACACCG
RNAcentral lists this ribosomal RNA (441 nucleotides) under uncultured bacterium. RNAcentral's name for it is "bacterial SSU rRNA". It matches the Rfam family "Bacterial small subunit ribosomal RNA", at positions 954 to 1392 of the family's 1533-position model. The record is from RNAcentral.